RNAcentral lists this long non-coding RNA (891 nucleotides) under Oryza sativa Indica Group (long-grained rice). RNAcentral's name for it is "lncRNA OsZS97_04G000920". Lineage: Eukaryota; Viridiplantae; Streptophyta; Magnoliopsida; Poales; Poaceae. The record is from RNAcentral.
UCCCGCCGGCGCGGCUCUCCAGAGCCGCUCGCGCGCGGCUGCGCCCGCUGCCGCCUCCUCCCACCGGCGCCGCUCGCCGGAGCCGCUCCGCUCGCGCGUGGCUGCGCACCCGACGCCGCCGCCUCCCGCCGGAGCCGCCUGCUUCCCUGCUCGCGUCGCGACGAAGAGGAAGGAGAGCUGGGGUCUGCUCACACCACCACUGCCACCGCCUCGCCUCCCUCUAAAGGUACAAAUCCACUCCUGCGCCACCCCUCCACCUCCUCUCUCUCUCUCUACCUACCUCCGCCGCCGCCUUCCACAUCAUUGCCAGAGACCAAGGUGACGACGUUGCAGGAGAGCGAUGCGGCUGCACUGUGUGGCUGGCAAGCACGUGGCCGGGCGCCGAGGAGCAAGCAGCCACGACCCAGAGCAGAGCUGCUGGAUCGUGCAGUUCACCCUGGUCAGCAUGUCUCAGCAGAUGCAAAGACAGUGGAACAUAUUUAUUUGGUGCUAAUUUUUGUUUGCAUCCAUGGAGUUAGGUUUAUAUCUAUUUUCGCAUUGCAUUUACAUGGAAUUAGAAUGAGGAGUAUUGAAAGAAGAAAGAUGGUGGUGGAUCAUGGGGCAGCGUCGAGGAACAUACAGGAAUGUUCAGGGGCAUAUGUUGGUCUGAACUUGAAAUGUUUGAACUUUGGUCACUCAUUGCUUCUGAACCGCUGCAACCUCUACUUAGUGACUUAAUCUUCUAUAUUUGGUUGUGAAUUGCUCUUCAAUGUUCUAACAUUGGUCAAUGACCGAGUUAAAAUGCUUUUACAACUGUACAUAUUUGUUGAUGUGUAUGUGCAUUUCAGUUUUAAAUCUUUAGAGCCUUUAAUGCAGUAUCCAUCCUUGUUUUUGCUUUAUUUUUGUGUGAGA